UACGGGGGGGGCAAGCGUUGUUCGGAAUUACUGGGCGUAAAGGGCUCGUAGGCGGCCAACUAAGUCGGAUGUGAAAUCCCCAGGCUCAACCUGGGAACUGCAUCCGAUACUGGAUGGCUUGAAUCCGGGAGAGGGGUGCAGAAUUCCAGGUGUAGCGGUGAAAUGCGUAGAUAUCUGGAGGAAUACCGGUGGCGAAGGCGGCAUCCUGGACCGGCAUUGACGCUGAGGAGCGAAAGCUAGGGGAGCAAACGGG
Molecule: ribosomal RNA, 253 nt
Filed under: uncultured bacterium
Lineage: Bacteria
Description: partial 16S ribosomal RNA
Rfam family: Bacterial small subunit ribosomal RNA
Source: RNAcentral